AACCUCCGCAAUGUGAGAAAUCGCGACGGGGGGAUCCCAAGUGCCAUUCUUAACGGGAUGGCUUUUCUUAAGUGUAAAAAGCUUUUGGAAUAAGAGCUGGGCAAGACCGGUGCCAGCCGCCGCGGUAACACCGGCAGCUCUAGUGGUAGCUGUUUUUAUUGGGCCUAAAGCGUUCGUAGCCGGUUUGAUAAGUCACUGGUGAAAUCCUGUAGCUUAACUGUGGGAAUUGUUGGUGAUACUGUUGAACUUGAGGUCGGGAGAGGUUAGCGGUACUCCCAGGGUAGAGGUGAAAUUCUGUAAUCCUGGGAGGACCACCUGUGGCGAAGGCGGCUAACUGGAACGAACCUGACGGUGAGGGACGAAAGCUAGGGGCGCGAACCGGAUUAGAUACCCGGGUAGUCCUAGCCGUAAACGAUGCGGACUUGGUGUUGGGAUGGCUUUGAGCCGCUCCGGUGCCGAAGGGAAGCUGUUAAGUCCGCCGCCUGGGAAGUACGGUCGCAAGACUAGAAACUAAAGGAAGU
RNAcentral lists this ribosomal RNA (521 nucleotides) under uncultured bacterium. Its description in RNAcentral is "bacterial SSU rRNA". It matches the Rfam family "Archaeal small subunit ribosomal RNA", at positions 345 to 866 of the family's 1478-position model. The record is from RNAcentral.